RNAcentral lists this ribosomal RNA (254 nucleotides) under uncultured bacterium. RNAcentral's name for it is "partial 16S ribosomal RNA". It matches the Rfam family "Bacterial small subunit ribosomal RNA", at positions 524 to 776 of the family's 1533-position model. The record is from RNAcentral.
UACGUAGGACCCAAGCGUUAUCCGGAAUCACUGGGCGUAAAGAGUAGCGUAGGCGGUCAGCUAAGCAAAGUAUGAAAUCUUGUGGCUUAACCAUAAGGCUAUAUUUUGAACUGGUUGACUAGAGUAUAGAAGAGGUAACUGGAAUUCCUAGUGUAGGAGUGAAAUCCGUAGAUAUUAGGAGGAACACCGAUGGCGUAGGCAGGUUACUGGUCUAUAACUGACGCUAAGGCACGAAAGCGUGGGGAGCAAACGGG